Molecule: ribosomal RNA, 206 nt
Filed under: uncultured bacterium
Lineage: Bacteria
Description: partial 16S ribosomal RNA
Rfam family: Bacterial small subunit ribosomal RNA
Source: RNAcentral
CGUGUAGGCGGUUCUGUAAGUCGGACGUGAAAGCUCCUGGCUUAACUGGGAGAGGCCGUUCAAUACUGCAGGACUUGAGGUCGGGAGAGGGACGUGGAAUUCCCGGUGUAGUGGUGGAAUGCGUAGAUAUCGGGAGGAACACCAGUGGCGAAGGCGGCGUCCUGGCCCGCACCUGACGCUAAGACGCGAAAGCGUGGGUAGCGAAC